This is a long non-coding RNA of Argentina anserina (silverweed cinquefoil), 1030 nucleotides long. RefSeq lists it as uncharacterized. The transcript has 3 exons. Lineage: Eukaryota; Viridiplantae; Streptophyta; Magnoliopsida; Rosales; Rosaceae. The record is from RefSeq and is a predicted model, not a curated record.
UGUUGUAAGCAGUUCAGAGUGGAAGCAGGUAUUUAUAGUUGGGGCAACACCUGAAUGUAAGCCAUAUAUCUUGUAACUGCUAACUGCAUCAUGUGGCUGAAAAUUGGGGUAUGAUCUCUGGGUUUGAUGUUGUUAGGUUCUUUACAUCACUUGCUCUUGUUGGUUCUCUGGAGUGAAAGUGACCGGUCCAAUUGUCCAAACUCAUGUGAGGCAAGUGCCUGCAUGCCUAAUACAUAUUCUUUAACAUGCCUCUUCAGAAAUUCCCCCAACAUCUAUAGUGGAGGUGUAAUUUGUUGGGUUGUAACUUGUAAGAUGAACCCAAAACUCUGCUUAUCCAGAAUGCUGCAACUCGUUCUUUCUUCAGGAGAAUUGCUACGUUUUCUGGAUAUCUGGAACCUCCGAGUAGACAUUAUCAUGCUAGGCCUCAACUUCUGGUACCCUAUCAUCCAGAAGAACCAGAAAGAAUCAGCAGGUAGUCAUUUGCUGGAGUCGAUUAUCCUAUCGGUACGAAGCUGGAUCAUUCCUGAUGCUCAAUCUUAAACUGACAACAAGGAGAUAAUAAUGGGGUUCUAGUCUUCCAGGGAAACUUAUUCAAAGCACCAAGAAAAAAGUGCAGACAAAAAUUAGAACGCCAAUCGCGCCAUCAAUCUCUCCCCUUUUCUUCUUUUUUGCAUGUGUCAUAAUUUUAAAUCAUAACCAACAAGCAAGUAAAGAAUAAUAUAGAGGGAAGAGACUAUGAUCUGGGUAAGCAGUUCCUUCGCUUUUGGAUACACCAUGAGCUUCAUGACUUUACUCCAAGGAUGAUGAUCAGCUGACAACUGGGAAGAUAAAGUGUGUACCCUAAAUGAACAUUCUAUUAGAUCUUCCAUUGAUACUCUUACUUAUUAUAUAAUGAAAAUGACACACUAGUAAUGUUGUUAACAGAUUCUCAGAUAUAGUCAUGGCAUGUUAGUUGUUAUAUGCAUUCGGGUCAAAUCUCUCUGUAUCAUUCUAAUUUCAUCGGAUGUCUCUAAAGGAACUCGGGUUAAAC